Non-coding RNA from Ahaetulla prasina, 528 nucleotides. NCBI's taxonomy places the organism in Eukaryota, Metazoa, Chordata, Lepidosauria, Squamata, Colubridae. The record is from the annotation of a RefSeq genome assembly.
AUGACUUUCACUUCCUAUUUAAACUCUCAAUCUCGUUCUCCAGACUCGACUCGAGGUGCAAAUCUCAUCGCUCCAAACUUCUUCAGAAUGACACCCAACUUCUUAAUUCUCAUCGUGCUAACUGCCUUCUCCAAAGGUGGCCUCUCCCAGGUAGCUCUGACCCAGUCAGAUGCGGUACUGAAGAAACCAGGAGAAUCCCAGAAAUUGACUUGCGCUGCCACUGGAUUCAAUGUUAAUAGCUAUUGGAUGGAUUGGUUCAGGCAGAAACCUGGCCAAGGACUGGAAUGGCUUGUUCACUAUCACACAUCGAGUAGCAACUAUUAUUCACCGAUAAUCCGAGGACGUUUUACUGCCUCCAAGGACAGUUCCAACUUCUAUCUGCAAAUGAACAACCUAAAAGCUGAGGACACGGCUGUCUAUUAUUGUGCAAGAGACACAGUGAGAGAGAUCUUAAGAGAUCUCAUGCAAAAACUUUUCCUUUCACUACCGAAACAUCUCAAGAGGGGACACCCGAGAACCACCAAAUGA